GGGAGUGCAAAGGCACUGAUCACAACCCACUAUCACAAGCCACAUUUCAUCAUUGGCUAGCUCAUAAUCUGGAUUUUUCUAAAUCUAAAUAAACCAGAUUUUUCCAUAAGCCACAGAAGAAUUUUUGGACGGCUAAUUGUUGGUCGGUCGAGCCAUCCGUAUAUUGAGUAGAGAGGCGUCAAUAAUACCGUCUUUUCUUUUGGUUUCUAGAGUAGACGGAAAAAAUCGAGGGUCUCUUUCCCGCAGCCGUUCCUGCCAUUCGGUGUCUCUCUUUCCCACCCGUUGGCGCUGUCUUCUGGCUUCUCCAGUCGUCCUGUUUGAGAGAUGUAGUGGAGAGAAAGAUAUCAAGGGUUUUCGUUCGCGCAACAGCCGUUGCCGGCCGCGAAGAACUCACUUCCCCACCCGUCGCGACCUCGCUAUCACACCUACACAGGCCUGUAAGACCUUCUCUCUCCAUUCUUUGCUGGUUAUCCACAAAUAUAGUCUUCAAAUGCAUGUUUUUUCCACUGUGAAUUUUCGAGAUUUAUAGCCAAUCGGAAUGAUUAUUUACGGGCCAUUAACUCUUGGUCAGUCAGUGAGUAUUUUUUAAUUGUGAUUUUUGUCUGAUGAUAACUGUUGGGAUUGCGGUGGCUGGAAUUUGGCGGUGUUGGUGGUGGAGAUUUGGUUGGUAUAUGUGGGUACGGAAUAUAACUUGCAGAGUUUCUAAUUCUCUUUAGAUUUGAUUUAAUUACACUACCAACCCAUAUCAGAAGAUUUAAAGGAAGAGAGAUAAAUCAAUCCCUUCAUUGAAUAAAAAUUGAAAUCUGUAGGUGUUUAUUAUCAUCCCAAAAUUUUCUUCUCAGAAACAAUAAAGAGGGAAAAACUUAAUUCAACUCAAGUCUCAACAAUUUGGUUGGGGUAAGGGCCGUAGGGGGGUGUUUGAUUACUACUUCCUCUCUGUCAUGCCAUGGAUCGGGGGCUUUCAAGCUUUCAACUGAAAGUUAUUUUUUUUUGCAACCACUAGAUUUAGCAGAAGAUAGAGUUGAUGAAAUGCUCUUUCUCAAGCUCUUGAAUCUAUUUCCAACUUUAAUCUUCAACUAGAAUAUUUUCACUUUUAACCAUGAAGGUUUUCUCCCAUAAUCUGCUCUCUGCAUAACCUUGUAAAUCAAGAACUGGGAUCAUCGGUGAUUUACCUCUUCAAAGCUUGACUCAAAGAGAGAGGGGUGGUGGAGAACUUCUGAAUUUAUUUUUAUUUUUAUUUUUAUUUUUUUGUUUUAUUCAAAUUCUGAUUUAAAAAAUUGAACAAAUUUGUGUACUGAUUUGAUUUACCCAACUUUUUAAUUGAACGAAAUGCAUAAUUUUCCACUAAACAUUUUAGAAAUAUAAAAGCAUAAAAAAGUUAGAAAAAUUAAUAUUUUUUAGUUGACAUUUGGUAUCAUGUUUAUUAUUUUAAAAAAAAUUGGGUCAAUGCAUCCAUGUUGUAUCAUGUCGGACAUUCUACACUGUUCUUUAGGUGUUCCAAGAUGUAAUUUAGUUCUUUCUUUUCUGUACUAAAAGAAAUCGGAUGCCUGUGAAGGUAAGCGGUGAUGGCUACCGUGAAAAUAAUAACCCGAACAUAGAAGAAAAGAUGUUGAGAUCUAGGAAGAAGAAAGAGAAACACAAGGCACAAUAUGAUAAUAAAUGACUAUUCUAGAAACCAAAAGAAAAGUAUGAUAUUUCUAACUUUCUUUCUUUAUAGUGCACUUUAGCAUUCAAAUGCAUUUUUAGUUUUAUUCACAUAUGUUCAACGGCCUUUUUUGAUUGAGGGUUACAUUCGAUAAACUGUCCAAAUGGUUUUCUUGGCUACUCUUUCCCACUGUGAAUUCUUGAGAUUUAUAGUCAAUCGAAAUGAUGAUUUAUGGGCCAUUAACACCUGGUCUCAGUGAGUAUUUUUUAAUUGUAGCAAUUUUGAGCUUUGUUGUCACAUGGGAUCUUAAUUAUUUUAGGUGGAUUUUGAUUUUUGUAUUUGUACAGCUCACCCCUUUUUACUACUAUGGUAAAGAACAAUAUAGAGAAGUGUAUUAUGGACUUAAAUUGCGAAUUCCUUAUAAAUUUUAGAAAUGCGGUUUGGAUAGAAAGAUUCCACUUUCCAAACUUUCCUCUUGAUGAGUCUUUUCAAAUAUCCUACAUGAUUUCUUGAUACGCGAAGGAAAUUUUUCAUUGUGGUACUACUUUGUUCUUUUGAUAGCACAAUUUUCUUGAAUGCAUUAAUGCAGAAAUAUUGUGUAUGCACUUCAAUUUUGCAUGUCGGAACAUUAUGUUUUCAAAUGCUCUAUCCAGCUAGCCUUUCAGUUUAGAAGAUUCCGAAAAUUAGCUUUUGUCCUAGACAAGAUUUUUUGAUUCUAUACUUAUCUUUUCAUUUUAAUCCUGGAAUGGGUUGGUCAAAGUUGGACUUUUUUUUUACAAACCUUUUUGAAGCUUAAGAUCGAGCCAGACACCUGUUUGAGAGAACUAUUUUUGGUGGACUAUGAUGCUUCUAGCAAGUUAUUGAACUUCACUUCUGGUUUUUGCCCAGCUGAUCUUUUUGGCAAUCAAUAAAUGGAGCUGAUGGAUUCAGUUAGGAUAAAGAGUGAUGGAAAUUUUUUCAAAUUUGUGUAGUUUCUUAUGAUGUGAUAGUUUUAACUUUAACAGGGUCCCAGUUGGGCACUAAGAUUCAAUCAUUUCUUUCCAUCUAAUGUAUUCCAUGGUUAACUUUAUAUGAUUUUUGUAUAUCUCUAUAAACCAAUCCCGUGGAAAUCAAGGGAAAAUAUAGUUAUUACUCAAUGCAGAACAUGCCCGUGUAAUUGGUACUCUACUUGUACGGUUGUACAUGUACAUUUGGAUAAAUGAAGCCAAGCAUUUGAUGGUUAAGUAUUAUUAUUCCUGAGUAUUUUGACAACUAAACCACUCAUUAUUCUCAUGUUAAAAUCUUGUAAAUUGACAUAUGGUAAAGCUUUUUUUGCGUUACAGUUUGACAUCUCAUUCUCAAAAUCACAUAAUUUCAAUCAAAAAAUAUGAGAAAAUAUUAAGGCUAAAAGAAAAUUUGGGAAGUAAGCCUCAAGACAAUUCACCCAUUCAAUAUUAAAACAUUACAUUUGGAAGGUGGAAAAUAAUUGAAAACUAUGAGCCCAUUCCCGCACAGCAAAUACAAUUGCGGAUUUGAAUUUGUCGUUUCCUCACUUGUACAAUAGUUCUUCAAAAUCAAUUGAUAAUUUCUUACAAUGUAAUUAUUUCUUUCUUUAAAUAGUUAUAGUGCACUUUAGCAUUUAAAUGCGUUUUUACUUUUAUUCACAUAGUUUCAACGACCUUUUUUGAUUGAGGGUUAUGUUCGAUAAACUGUCCAAAUGGUUUUCCUAGCUGCUGUAUCCAUUAUGGUAAUAAAAUAGACAAACUUUUUUUUUAUUAUAAAACCUCUUUGUGCAUAUCUUCUCUCUAUGUUAUGACGUUUACUGAAUUGUUCAUAUUGAAUAAGGCGAAAGUCCAUCGUGGUCAGAAUCAUCAUCUUUUAUGUUAUUUUUCCCUUUCCUCUAGGAGUCCAAUUUGCAUGCAUAUGGCUAAGCAUGUUUUGUUUUGUGGAUGUAUGUAAUCUGUAUGAAGAAUUGUUUACACGGUUCAUGUUGAGGGCAAUGAGAAAUGAUGUUAACAAAAAGCAAGUUCCUGCAUUCUUAUAUGAAAUGUACUAAAAAUGUUGUUUACGAUAAAAUUUUAGCAAUGGUAAAUGCAUGACAUUAUGUUCUCAUUUACAUUUUCAAAUAAUCAUUACAAAACAUUUAAUAAAUUUGAAAAUUUUGAGAGAACUUUGUCAUUUCCAUUUGGCUGCGGAGCUGACUGAAAUUUGAGAGAAAUUUGUAUUCUUCUCUGUAAAAUUUGAUCACAAUUGAGAAUCAUGUAAAAUAUUUCUUGCUUAUUAUUUUCUCAUUCUUUUUGUUCCAUUUUAUUUUAAAAUUUUGCUCCUUUUUGGUCACUACACCUAAGACACACUUGGUAAUCCUUCUAUUUGCUCCACAGGAAAUUGUUUCCAAACAAUGUUAAGAAGAUAGAACACACCGAGAAUAUUUUUGGUGAAUAUCGGGAGAAACAUGAUAUGAGGCGGUAUGCUUCUUAUACUAUAGAUUUUUCUUUUACCUCUUUUUUGAAAUAAAUAAAUAAAUAAAUCAUCCUUGUUUAGCGUGAGUUAAUGGUAAUUGUGUUCUUGGCUGUUCAGUUAACUUGGUAUUAGAUUCACCAUCAUUGAGAUGCUACACUUGUCAUACUAUCCAUUUGUGCUUCAUGUAUUCAUAUAGUGUAGGUUGUUGAAGGAAGAUAAAUUUGUUUGUGGCUAAUUCACUUUGUAAUUUGUCAUUUGUUUCUGUCAAUGUCUUCAUCUAUUUUCAUGUUGGAUUUUUGUUAUCUAAAAGGGAUGACACCAACAAUAGCUUCAUGUACUCAAUUUUCACUUUAUCUGUACAUUUCUCUUUCAAAAUUUGAUCUCUAUGAAUUUUCCCUUUAAUUUUUGUACGAUUUUGUGCACUAGAUCUAGGACUUCUACAUAAGCACACUUGCUAGCACUCCUCCAGGUUACUAAAAUAACCUCACAGUGAAUAUAGUAAUGAAUUGAUCAAUUCUUCAUUUGUAUUGCAAUUUGUAUUUUAUUUCUUCAAAUCUGAAAUGCGUGAAAAUAAGACAAACUAUGAAAUUGGUGUUAUUCAUAAGCUAUUACCCGGUUUGCUUAGUUUGAUGCCUGGAAUAGAGACAGGUAAGUUUUUUGUUGCACGGAAAUUUUGCUAAUCUUCAAGGUAAUACAGUAAUGCUUAUGGUUUUUAUUUUAAUGGGAUCUGGUUAUAUGUGAAUCACACAUUGUGACCUACACAAGCAUUGUUUAUUAUUCAUAUUUUCUGACACAUUGAUCGAUAUUAUUAAUGUUCAUCAUCAUGAGAUAUGCGUAUGAGGAAGUUGUUCUGGUAAUUAAAGACGUUGGAUAAAAAUCUUCUUGUCUGAGGUUAUGCAGUUUCUGUGCCUUGUCACUUGCCAAUUAAUUUUACAAUUUGUGCUCAAUGUUUUGUUGAAGUACAAAAGUUGGUAGCGUUUCAUGGGAUUUUAGUUUGAUAAAGGUACGACUUCAAUGACCAGAAGCCUAAUUUUUCUUAGUCAUAACUUAGCGGGAAAAAAAAGAGCAUAGUACCUUUCCCUCUGGGGGUAGGAAAAUCAUGAUCAGCAGUUGGCAGCUGGGGUAGAGUUUGCAACUGCAGUUGUUCCUCAUCUAUUUCUUCCAUUAGCUUGUGCUGCCAAUUUAGCCAGGCUUUUAUCAUUACUGUGCUUUUCAUUUCUCAAUGUCUUGCAAUGGAGAACUACCUUCACACAUUCAUAUUUGUGUGCUUGUAGAAUGUUAUCACUAUCACAUCGACCUGAGCUCGAACCCCAAUAGAUAAGGCCUUUGCUAAAGGAGAAAUGUUGGAGAUGUGACUGUCAGGGAAGAAAGUUGGAAAUGGUAUUGACAACGUAUCUUUGUUUGAUCAAAAUGUUGUUAUUUACAAUUUUAUUUUCUGGCAAGGAUAUAACAGAUACUACCAAUCAAAAUGAUGUUUAAAACUUAGUCUUAUAUUUUCUUGUGGUUAUUAUAGUCGUGAAAUUUCUUACGCUGCAUAUUAGUACCGCCAAAGUAACUACUUGUGGACACAUAUUUUAUAUAAUCUAAUGUAAUCAUCCUUCUAACCA
RNAcentral lists this long non-coding RNA (5691 nucleotides) under Olea europaea subsp. europaea. Lineage: Eukaryota; Viridiplantae; Streptophyta; Magnoliopsida; Lamiales; Oleaceae. The record is from RNAcentral.